RNAcentral lists this small RNA (1697 nucleotides) under Pan troglodytes (chimpanzee). RNAcentral describes it as "processed transcript". Lineage: Eukaryota; Metazoa; Chordata; Mammalia; Primates; Hominidae. The record is from RNAcentral.
CAUGGCCUCGGCGGUGUUUGAGGGCACGUCGCUCGUGAACAUGUUCGUGCGCGGCUGCUGGGUGAACGGCAUCCGCAGGCUCAUCGUCAGCCGGCGCGGCGACGAAGAGGAGUUCUUCGAGAUCCGCACGGAGUGGUCGGACCGCAGCGUGCUCUACCUGCACCGCAGCCUGGCGGACCUGGGCCGCCUGUGGCAGCGCCUGCGCGACGCCUUUCCCGAGGACCGGUCCGAGCUGGCGCAGGGGCCGCUGCGGCAAGGACUGGUUGCCAUAAAGGAAGCCCACGACAUAGAGACCAGGCUUAAUGAGGUGGAGAAGCUGCUGAAGACGAUCAUAAGCAUGCCCUCAUUCUAGAUCGGAAGUUGUGCUCACCUUCUUCGAAAGAUCUCCUCUGGAUCAGGUGUUAAAAAAUGAUAAUGUACAUAAAAUUCAACCCAGCUUUCAAAGUCCAGUCAAAAUAUCAGAAAUCAUGAGGUCCAAUGGAUUUUGUUUAGCAAAUACUGAAACAAUCGUUAUUGACCACAGUAUACCAAAUGGAAGAGACCAGCACCUGGGCGUGGACCCAGCAGAGCAUUUAUUUGAGAAUGGCAGUGAGUUUCCCUCAGAGCUGGAGGACGGGGACGACCCAGCAGCCUACGUCACCAACCUGUCGUAUUACCACCUGGUCCCCUUCGAGACAGACAUUUGGGACUGAACCUCUCUAUCAGGCCUCCCCCGCCUCAGCUGUUCACUGCCAGCUCUGAUGCUGUCCACUGUGCUGGCCCCCAUGGUCACAGCUGCUGCCCCAGCUCUGGACCUCCCAGACGUCCCAGGCCCCACUGACGCCAGGAGGCCUGGGUAUCCUGCAAGUGGAGCAGCAGGGGCUCCUAGUGGGUCAGGCUGACCGCAGAGUCUCCAGCAAGCUGAGGUCACAGCCGGAGGCCACAGGGCCUGUGUUCUGAGGGUCUUCACUCCCUGCUUGGUGCCCACAGGGCUGCGCACUGCCAGGGCAGGGACAGUUCCUGUGGGGCUCGCUCUCACUGCUACUGCUUCCUGGGAGGUGCGUCCCUCUUGGUGAAGUGGCCUAGUGCCCCCCAGCCACCCUGACUCCCCACCAUUCCCUCCCACGGCAAACGCACAAAACGUCUUGAGGGAGAUUUUGACAAGUCACCCAUUCCAGGUGCCACAGGCAGGGGAUGUUUAGUAAUCCAGGAUUUCUCUGAGAACUGGGAUAUGUGGCCUUUUUUUUUUUUUCUUUUUAUCUUUUAUCUGGAAACUGGGUUUGGGUCAACCCCAGGAGUGUUUGCAGAAGGCCCAGCACAGUGGGGGGUAUUGGCUGCAGGGCAGGGAAGGCAUUGCCGACUAGAUAACCGUGUGAGCUUGGACUGAGCGUUGGUGGUUCUUCCCAGAGGAAAGGAAUUUCUUCCCAGCCUGCCAGGUCUCUGGGCCUUCAGCGCGGGUCCUGGUGCUGCGGCCACACCACCCUGGGGUGCUCAUUGACAGAGCUGCCAUAAUGAACUUGAAAGGACGGGAAUCACGAGGGAAGCUGGGGCUCCCCUGCCCACAGGAGAGGAUCCCCGUUCUUCAAGCUUCUCUGCUCAGUGUCUACUAACGACCGACAUUUGCUAAUGUAAAUAAUAGUAAAUUAUUGAGAAUUCUAAUUCUUUUACAGUCUGUUUUUAAUCUAUUUUAAUUAAAUAAAAUCUAUGACUCUACUUUG